UAAAAUGCAAAGACAAGGAAAGUAUAAUUUAAUAAACCUUCAUUAGAGAACUCAUGCAUGCUGAAAGUGAGUAAGGGGAUUAAGUUUGAAAAUGGCCUUCGAGCAGAGAAUAACUGAACUGUAGUGAACUACUUUAGGUUAUUACGGGAGCACCCGUUAGCGUGCCACAGUAUGACGGAUGGCAAUUUCCAAGUACUGAUAGAGGUAAAGGCAGUGAUGCUUUUAUAAAGCAAGGUGGUAACACGGGAAAAUUUAACUUCCGUCCUUAAG
Carnobacterium maltaromaticum LMA28 is the source of this 270-nucleotide regulatory RNA element. It matches the Rfam family "T-box leader". From Rfam's summary of the family: Uncharged tRNA acts as the effector for transcription antitermination of genes in the T-box leader family. The record is from Rfam. NCBI's taxonomy places the organism in Bacteria, Bacillati, Bacillota, Bacilli, Lactobacillales, Carnobacteriaceae.